UGGCUCAGAGGUUAAGUACUUGGCUGCUAACCAAAAGGUUGGUGGUUUGAGCCCACC
RNAcentral lists this transfer RNA (57 nucleotides) under Loxodonta africana (African savanna elephant). It matches the Rfam family "tRNA", at positions 8 to 63 of the family's 71-position model. From Rfam's summary of the family: Transfer RNA (tRNA) molecules are approximately 80 nucleotides in length. The record is from Rfam by way of RNAcentral. Lineage: Eukaryota; Metazoa; Chordata; Mammalia; Proboscidea; Elephantidae.